GGGCAUAUGGUGUAGGGGUUAUCACGUUCGCUUUGCACUCUUGAACCGAUCCAGCCUUGCGAAAGGUCUCCGGUUCAAAUCCGGAUUUGUCCA
This is a non-coding RNA of Lentinula edodes (shiitake mushroom), 93 nucleotides long. The record is from the annotation of a RefSeq genome assembly. Lineage: Eukaryota; Fungi; Basidiomycota; Agaricomycetes; Agaricales; Omphalotaceae.